UGUGACAGUUCCUAUAAUGCGUGGCAAGGGUUUAUAUUCCAGCUGUGGUGGGCAUUGUUGUGCCUGCUUGCAUGCGGGUUGCGUAUCCAUCCGGAAGUGUAUUGUGGACAUUCUAUUUAGGGCUUCGUAUAGGCAUUUUCAGAGACCUCUUGAACCCAUCUUCAAUCGACUCUUAAGCUCUUUUUGGUCCCAACCUCCAUGGCGUAGGGGACUAUUUUUAUGGUUUUGCUGCAACCUUCACAUUCCGCUAUUCUUUCAUUCAGUACGGAUAGACACCUAAGCGAGACAUCACAUUGGAGCUAGGCAUACUUAUGUGCAUACUCCAUCUCACGGGACAGGGCUUAUACCAGGCAUCUACCGGAAAAGUUUCAAUCUCGGAUGCUUCCUUAUAUACCAUUACGCAGGGGUGACUGUUGAAUAGGUCUGCCAAAGCAGCUGUUAUAUGAGUCUGUCAUAUAAGAGAGAUGUGAAUUCUACCUGAUUUGAGAGCUUAUACAGUACAAAGGUGUAUGCCAAGUUCAUUUUAGGUACUUCUAAACUUCGAAUUGUUUAUUGUUGGUGGCUUUGGUUUACGACUUAAUGUCAUUGUUAUGGCAUACACUCUGCAGUCGAAGUCAGAUGUAAAUUUUGCAUGAUUUGAGAGCUUGUACAUUACAAACUCAUAUACUUGUUUCCUUCACAAUUGUAGUGUUUUUCUUAA
Molecule: long non-coding RNA, 700 nt
Organism: Cryptomeria japonica (Japanese cedar)
Lineage: Eukaryota; Viridiplantae; Streptophyta; Pinopsida; Cupressales; Cupressaceae
Exons: 2
Source: RefSeq, a predicted model, not a curated record